This is a non-coding RNA of Rhinichthys klamathensis goyatoka, 452 nucleotides long. The record is from the annotation of a RefSeq genome assembly. NCBI's taxonomy places the organism in Eukaryota, Metazoa, Chordata, Actinopteri, Cypriniformes, Leuciscidae.
CUGAACAACAGAACUACAAAUUCAUCAUGCUUAUCAACAUGUUGCUCUUCUUAACUGGUCUGAUUUGUUCUCUUAUAUGUGGCAGUUUUGCAAAUAUCACGCCAGUCCAGACUGAAGUUUAUGAGAAAGAGGGAGAAAAUGUUACUCUGUCCUGUAACUACUCCUCAGCAUCAACACUACAGUGGUAUCGACAAUAUCCCGGAUCAGCUCCAGAAUUUCUUCUGGUCAUUAUACAGUCCACAGGAAAAGUUUCACAAAAGUCAGAUAUUGUGGAUCGAGAUCCUCGAUUCUCUGGAAAAGUGAAUAAAAAGAAAACCCAUGUGCAUCUUGAGAUCUCCUCUGCUAAAGUGACAGACUCUGCAAUGUAUUACUGUGCCAUGGAGCCCACAGUGACAGGAAACACAAGAACUCUGUACAAAAACCCUCUCAACACCAACACCAUAUACUGGUGA